GUAAAGGAAGAAGGGGAAGCAGAAAGCAAUGUGGUAUUCAACGGCUAACAGAGAACAUAUAAAUAAAUUAAGGUUUAUGCAGCUUCGUUAACUCAUUUCCCAAGCUUUUCCAGCAAAAGUAAACGUGAGGGAAGUACACUGAUAUUAAUACUAACGCGUUUCUAGCAGCCUCAGAGCAGCAGCAUUUAACGCUGAACAUCACACAGAAUCCCAGUCACCAAGAAUGUCUGCAUUUUGGAGGUUUCUCUGCACCGGCUCUGGGGCAGGGCACAACAGAAAAACUCAGAUUUGUCCACGGGACACAACUGUGCUUUUGAUCUCCUCUGGGGUGGCUGUGUCUGUCCAUAGCCCCUGGCAUAGUCAGGUGGGAAGAUCAACAAUGCAGACCCGAGGAAGUCCCAGCUUGCUGCUCCUCAGUUUCUGGAAAUGCACUCCUCUCAUUCCGCAAUGUCUCUGGGAAAGCUGUUCUACUUUUUAAUAGACAGAAUCCUAAAAGGAUGUCUGGUGAUCCUCAACGUGGAGAAAGAGAGCUAGAGUGGGGAAGUGGCUAUUUCCCCGACGCCAGCCUCCCACUCCCAUUCCUCAGAGAAGCCCCGCCAGGACCCCGGCCAACCUCGCGGAACCAAAAGCUUCUCUGGCUCCAGAGCCGAUAGCAGCACGCGGUCAUGUCUGCGACAAGUGGCAGAGUUCCUGCCUUCUCAGGCAGACCACGCCCCGAUGCUGCUGAUGCUCCUUACUGCCUCCCGCCCUUACCCGAACGACUUACCUGAGCCAGAACCUCCACGUUCGCUGCCGGGACCCGAAGAUCCUGCACGCGGCCAUGUUGCCCACGCCCCCUCACGUUUACCCACGUCCCCACGCAGCAAACGUCAUUUCGUCAUUCCAGGCUACGCCCCUAUCAGUCCCGCCUCUGUCCCCGACCCAGGCUCAAAUCUCGCCCUGACCACGCUUCCCCUGCGCCGGAGUCCACACCCGCUCUGCGCUCUGGCUACACAUCUCCUGUCGCUGCCACGCGCCUGCACGCUAACUUGCCCACGCCUCUGCCCUCCGCCUGCUCCACCAUGUUUGUUACGCCCGUCAGAGCAACAAGGCACGCCCACACGUGAAUGGAGCCUACAUAUGCUCACAUAUUGAUAUAAAUCUAGUGAACUCAACAAGGGAUCUUCCAUGAAUCAAAAAAACGACACGUAUGUUUUCUUUUCAUGUGAUCUCAUAUUCUAUUUGCCCCAGAGUGGUAGAUCAAUAGUUAUGUGCUCAGAAAGUGCUUUUCAAGAGUGUUGUGAAGUAUAAAAAACACGGAGAAAUCAAUUUCGUUUUCCCAUCUCAGGAGACUUAGUGCCCUUUUGUGUGGCUCAUGGC
Molecule: long non-coding RNA, 1359 nt
Filed under: Piliocolobus tephrosceles (Ugandan red Colobus)
Lineage: Eukaryota; Metazoa; Chordata; Mammalia; Primates; Cercopithecidae
Description: lncRNA (ENSPTEG00000003401.1)
Source: RNAcentral